AACGAACGCUGGCGGCAUGCCUAACACAUGCAAGUCGAACGAGAUCCUUCGGGGUCUAGUGGCGCACGGGUGCGUAACGCGUGGGAAUCUGCCCUUAGGUUCGGAAUAACAGUUAGAAAUGACUGCUAAUACCGGAUGAUGACGUUAAGUCCAAAGAUUUAUCGCCUGAGGAUGAGCCCGCGUAGGAUUAGCUAGUUGGUGUGGUAAAGGGGCACCAAGGCGACGAUCCUUAGCUGGUCUGAGAGGAUGAUCAGCCACACUGGGACUGAGACACGGCCCAGACUCCUACGGGAGGCAGCAGUGCGGAAUAUUGGACAACGGCCGCAAGCCUGAUCCAGCAAUGCCGCGUGAGUGAUGAAGGCCUUAGGGUUGUAAAGCUCUUUUACCCGGGAUGAUAAUGACAGUACCGGGAGAAUAAGCCCCGGCUAACUCCGUG
RNAcentral lists this ribosomal RNA (436 nucleotides) under uncultured bacterium. RNAcentral's name for it is "partial 16S ribosomal RNA". It matches the Rfam family "Bacterial small subunit ribosomal RNA", at positions 29 to 507 of the family's 1533-position model. The record is from RNAcentral.